GGGCUGGGGCUCAGUGGUAGAGUGCUUGCCUAGCAUGUGUGAGGCACUGGCUUUGAUUCUCAGCAGCACA
This 70-nucleotide transfer RNA is filed under the name Marmota monax (woodchuck). RNAcentral describes it as "tRNA.Ala". The record is from RNAcentral. Lineage: Eukaryota; Metazoa; Chordata; Mammalia; Rodentia; Sciuridae.